This 384-nucleotide ribosomal RNA is filed under the name uncultured bacterium. RNAcentral describes it as "bacterial SSU rRNA". It matches the Rfam family "Bacterial small subunit ribosomal RNA", at positions 29 to 410 of the family's 1533-position model. The record is from RNAcentral.
AACGAACGCUAGCGGCAUGCCUCAAACAUGCAAGUCGGACGCGAAUGGAGCUUCGGCUCUUAGUAGAGUGGCGCACGGGUGAGUAACACGUAGCUAACAUACCCUAUCGCUGGGGAUAACUCCGGGAAACCGGAGCUAAUACCGAAUGAGCUGCGAGAGUCUGCGGACUUUUUCAGCAAAGCCUUACGGCGCGAUAGGAUUGGGCUGCGGUCGAUUAGCUAGUUGGUGGGGUAACGGCCUACCAAGGCGACGAUCGAUAGCUGGUCUGAGAGGAUGAUCAGCCACACUGGAACUGAAACACGGUCCAGACUCCCACGGGAGGCAGCAGUUGGGAAUAUUGCACAAUGGAGGAAACUCUGAUGCAGCAAUGCCGCGUGAGGGAUG